RNAcentral lists this transfer RNA (26 nucleotides) under Xantusia arizonae. Its description in RNAcentral is "partial tRNA-Ser". Lineage: Eukaryota; Metazoa; Chordata; Lepidosauria; Squamata; Xantusiidae. The record is from RNAcentral.
AAGGAAUGUAUGGCAACAAAAAGAAC